This is a long non-coding RNA of Astatotilapia calliptera (eastern happy), 1156 nucleotides long. The record is from Ensembl. NCBI's taxonomy places the organism in Eukaryota, Metazoa, Chordata, Actinopteri, Cichliformes, Cichlidae.
GUGUUUUGGAGUUUGUACGUGCUUUGUCUCUAGGGGCCACCGUAUGUGCGUACUUGUAAGCGUGGCAAUGGCGGAGGAGCGCGGCUAAAAAACUUAUUACUUUUUCUGGGUCACAAAAUAAAACUUUUAAGAUAUUUUCAGGCAAGAAUGUAGCUGUGUAAAGUUUAAGUAUCUGCUCGAUUUAUCAAGACAUCACAUAUUUGCAAAAAUGCUCUAACGUUUUCGGAGACGUCCAUUUUUUUCAUGCUUUGUGGCAGCUUUUGAACAUCUGUGGCAUCUAUUAAUGUCAAAUCUAGCCUUUAUUUAACAACAUAAGCAAUCUCUAUGUUACAAUAAUUGCACAGCCAUUAAGGAUCAAAUCAGUUUCUGAAAAAUGUUCUGUUUUUUCUCCCUCUGCUUGCUUCUUACUGUCUUUGAGGCUCGGGACCAGCACUCCUGUUGUUGGACAGAAAGACAUCAACUCAGCGGUAAGUAUUUUGGUUUUCCAAUAUAUUAGCAACUGUCAGUGACAUUUAUAUUAAUCAGGCUGAACUUUAAUCAUACUUUAGAUCAGCCUGUUUUACUUAUUGUUUUAUUUGUGCUUUGGUUUGGGGAAGUUUUGCUGUUGACUCCAGUUAAUUCUACAAGACAUGCUGUGACACCAGGAGAGAUGAGUCCUCCGUCACAGAUGGUGUGGUCAGUGAAGAUGGUCGCCUGCAGGUUCAAGCUCACUGCAUCUCCAACCCACAUCCACUGCCACUGCACUUAAGGGAAGUUAAAGACUUUCUUCUGCACCUACAUUUGGAUCACCUCGAUCCAUGAUAGUCAUUCAGGCAGUAAUGCCUGGACUGGAAACAAGCCAUCCUUAAAACAUUACAACAUUCCAGCUCAUGUGUUGGAAUGCAAAACAAAUGUGUUGUUUAAAUUAGAGACUGCACUUGUGACAGAACAACAAAUAUUUUAUUUUGAUUAUAUAAGUAAUGUAAGUACGAAACAAACUUGUGGUAGACCUAAACUUAUUUUCAGAAUAAUUACAUCUGAGACUUUGUUUCAUUGUGAGAUUAUAACAGUGAUGGCAAUAUAAUUGUUUGUUGUUCAGCAGAACAGUGUCCAGUAUGUUGGCUGUUAUACUUUGUUGUGUUUGAAAAUAAAAGUUGGGCUGAUUUUAACAUCAUUA